Molecule: ribosomal RNA, 313 nt
Filed under: uncultured bacterium
Lineage: Bacteria
Description: bacterial SSU rRNA
Rfam family: Bacterial small subunit ribosomal RNA
Source: RNAcentral
GAUGAACGCUGGCGGCGUGCUUAACACAUGCAAGUCGAACGGACUUUUAAUGAAACCUAGUGAUUUAAAAGUUAGUGGCGGACGGGUGAGUAACGCGUGGGUAACCUGCCGUAUGCUGGGGGACAACAGUUAGAAAUGACUGCUAAUACCGCAUAAGCGCAUAGAGUCGCAUGACUCAGUGUGAAGAACCGAGGUGGCACACGAUGGACCCGCGUCUGAUUAGCUAGUUGGUGAGGUAACGGCUCACCAAGGCGACGAUCAGUAGCCGGCCUGAGAGGGUGAACGGCCACAUUGGGACUGAGACACGGCCCAA